This 348-nucleotide unclassified non-coding RNA is filed under the name soil metagenome. Its description in RNAcentral is "partial contains 5.8S ribosomal RNA, internal transcribed spacer 2, and large subunit ribosomal RNA". The stretch from base 1 to 120 matches the Rfam family "5.8S ribosomal RNA", at positions 35 to 154 of the family's 154-position model. The record is from RNAcentral.
GAUGAAGAACGCAGCGAAAUGCGAUAAGUAAUGUGAAUUGCAGAACUCAGUGAAUCAUCGAAUCUUUGAACGCACAUUGCGCCCGCUGGUAUUCCGGCGGGCAUGCCUGUUCGAGCGUCAUUUCAACCCUCAAGCCCCCGGGUUUGGUGUUGGGGAUCGGCUCUGCCCUUCUGGGCGGUGCCGCCCCCGAAAUACAUUGGCGGUCUCGCUGCAGCCUCCAUUGCGUAGUAGCUAACACCUCGCAACUGGAACGCGGCGCGGCCAUGCCGUAAAACCCCAACUUCUGAAUGUUGACCUCGGAUCAGGUAGGAAUACCCGCUGAACUUAAGCAUAUCAAUAAGCGGAGGA